RNAcentral lists this ribosomal RNA (155 nucleotides) under Thielaviopsis paradoxa. Its description in RNAcentral is "5.8S ribosomal RNA". It matches the Rfam family "5.8S ribosomal RNA". Rfam says of the family: 5.8S ribosomal RNA (5.8S rRNA) is a component of the large subunit of the eukaryotic ribosome. It is transcribed by RNA polymerase I as part of the 45S precursor that also contains 18S and 28S rRNA. Lineage: Eukaryota; Fungi; Ascomycota; Sordariomycetes; Microascales; Ceratocystidaceae. The record is from RNAcentral.
AACUUUCAACAACGGAUCUCUUGGCUCUAGCAUCGAUGAAGAACGCAGCGAAAUGCGAUACGUAAUGUGAAUUGCAGAACUCAGUGAAUCAUCGAAUCUUUGAACGCACAUUGCGCCUGGCAGCAUUCUGCCAGGCAUGCCUGUCCGAGCGUCAU